AGCAGCCGCGGUAAUUCCAGCUCCAAUAGCGUAUAUUAAAGUUGUUGCAGUUAAAAAGCUCGUAGUUGAAUUUCGGGGUCAGUAAGUUGGUCGUGCCACUGGUAUGUACUGGCUUUACUGAUUCCUCCUUCUUGUAGAACCGUAAUGCCAUUAAGUUGGUGUUGCGGGAAAACAGGACUGUUACUUUGAAAAAACUUAGAGUGUUUAAAGCAAGCUAACGCUUGAAUACAUUAGCAUGGAAUAAUGAAAUAGGACGAACGAUCCUAUUUUGUUGGUUUCUAGGAUUGACGUAAUGAUUAAUAGGGGUAGUUGGGGGCCAUUAGUAUUCAAUUGUCAGAGGUGAAAUUCUUGGAUUUAUUGAAGACUAACUACUGCGAAAGCAUUUGCCAAGGAUGUUUUCAUUAAUCAAGAACGAAAGUUGA
RNAcentral lists this ribosomal RNA (422 nucleotides) under uncultured Glomus. RNAcentral describes it as "SSU rRNA". It matches the Rfam family "Eukaryotic small subunit ribosomal RNA", at positions 569 to 993 of the family's 1831-position model. The record is from RNAcentral. Lineage: Eukaryota; Fungi; Glomeromycota; Glomeromycetes; Glomerales; Glomeraceae.